UACGUAGGGGGCUAGCGUUGUCCGGAAUCAUUGGGCGUAAAGAGCGUGUAGGCGGUCCGGUAAGUCCGCUGUGAAAGUCGGGGGCUCAACCCUCGAAUGCCGGUGGAUACUGUCGGGCUAGAGUGCGGAAGAGGCGAGUGGAAUUCCUGGUGUAGCGGUGAAAUGCGCAGAUAUCAGGAGGAACACCGGUGGCGAAGGCGGCUCUCUAGUACGGUACUGACGCUGAGACGCGAAAGCGUGGGGAGCGAACAGG
Molecule: ribosomal RNA, 253 nt
Filed under: uncultured bacterium
Lineage: Bacteria
Description: partial 16S ribosomal RNA
Rfam family: Bacterial small subunit ribosomal RNA
Source: RNAcentral